Molecule: long non-coding RNA, 629 nt
Organism: Papaver somniferum (opium poppy)
Lineage: Eukaryota; Viridiplantae; Streptophyta; Magnoliopsida; Ranunculales; Papaveraceae
Exons: 5
Source: RefSeq, a predicted model, not a curated record
UGAUGUCACUGGAUACGAUGAAUGAAGAAGCAAAUACGCGUCUUCAAAUGACUCUCUCGCUGUUCCGGGAUGUUCAGAUUUGAUCCUCCUUGAUAAGAAUUCACAUGGCAGGGUGGUAUUAUUAAGGAACUGAGAUCACUCCUCUAUACUUCAUAAUGGUCAGAUGUCAUCCUUGAUAAGUGCUUGUGGUGUAGCGAACCAACUUAUUAGCCUAUGAGCGAAAAAUGCAAAUGAGCAAGAUGGGAAGUGGCAAAGUGCCCAGGCGACACCAUCAAUGAAUCAACAAUGAUGCAUCACCAUUGUUAUGCUCUGUAAGCCAUGUGAAUUGGUUUCAUGGAGCAGCUAGACGAGGUGGCUACUGCUUGUACCUGCUAUAGCGAUUACUAAAGGAAGUCAUUGGUGUUGAAGUGUUUUUGGCUUUUUGCUCAAAAUUGUAGCUGCAAUUAGAUUCUUGGGAAUGAUCAUCCUUCUACUCACAUCUGUUUUGUCAUGAAGACCACCAAUGCUGGGUGAAUUCCAUCAAAACUGCAUGUGAUUGAGCUUGGUACCCAAUCAGGUCUGCUAAAGAACAACCCUAAAGAUUAAGGUCCUUGUCCUCCUAUUUUUUACAAUUAGUCAUAUAUGAACUU